ACGCCUUAUACAUGCAAGUCGAACGAAGUAGCAAUACUUAGUGGCAGACGGGUGAGUAACAUGUAGGUAUCUUCCCUUUGGUGAGGAAUAACACGAGGAAACUUGUGCUAAUACCUCAUAAGUCUUUACGGAGAAAGCUUUAUGCGCCGAAGGAUGAGCCUGCACUUGAUUAGUUUGUUGGUAGGGUAAUGGCCUACCAAGACUUUGAUCAAUAGCUGAUCUGAGAGGAUGAUCAGCCACAUUGGGACUGAGACACGGCCCAAACUCCUACGGGAGGCAGCAGUAGGGAAUAUUGCACAAUGGAGGAAACUCUGAUGCAGCGAUGCCGCGUGAGUGAAGAAGGCCCUUGGGUUGUAAAGCUCUUUCGUCGGGGAAGAAAAUGACUGUACCCGAAUAAGAAGGUCCGGCUAACUUCGUGCCAGCAGCCGCGGUAAUACGAAGGGACCUAGCGUAGUUCGGAAUUACUGGGCUUAAAGAGUUCGUAGGUGGUUAAAAAAGUUGGUGGUGAAAUCCCAGAGCUUAACUCUGGAACUGCCAUCAAAACUUUUUAGCUAGAGUAUGAUAGAGGAAAGCAGAAUUUCUAGUGUAGAGGUGAAAUUCGUAGAUAUUAGAAAGAAUACCGAUUGCGAAGGCAGCUUUCUGGAUCAUUACUGACGCUGAGGAACGAAAGCAUGGGUAGCGAAGAGGAUUAGAUACCCUCGUAGUCCAUGCCGUAAACGAUGUGUGUUAGACGUUGGAAAUUUAUUUUCAGUGUCGCAGCGAAAGCAUUAAACACACCGCCUGGGGAGUACG
This 792-nucleotide ribosomal RNA is filed under the name uncultured Pelagibacteraceae bacterium. RNAcentral describes it as "bacterial SSU rRNA". It matches the Rfam family "Bacterial small subunit ribosomal RNA", at positions 44 to 884 of the family's 1533-position model. Lineage: Bacteria; Pseudomonadati; Pseudomonadota; Alphaproteobacteria; Candidatus Pelagibacterales; Candidatus Pelagibacteraceae. The record is from RNAcentral.